RNAcentral lists this ribosomal RNA (374 nucleotides) under uncultured bacterium. RNAcentral describes it as "bacterial SSU rRNA". It matches the Rfam family "Bacterial small subunit ribosomal RNA", at positions 521 to 896 of the family's 1533-position model. The record is from RNAcentral.
UAAUACGGAGGGUGCAAGCGUUAUCCGGAAUCACUGGGUUUAAAGGGUGCGUAGGCGGCCUGGUAAGUCAGGGGUGAAAGCUUCCCGCUCAACGGGAGAACUGCCCUUGAUACUGCCAGGCUCGAAUUGGGUUGAGGCCGGCGGAAUGUGGCAUGUAGCGGUGAAAUGCUUAGAUAUGCCAUAGAACACCGAUUGCGAAGGCAGCCGGCCAAGCCUUGAUUGACGCUGAGGCACGAAAGCGUGGGGAGCGAACAGGAUUAGAUACCCUGGUAGUCCACGCCCUAAACGAUGUUUACUCGACGUCCGGGCCCUGCGCCCGUGCGUCCAAGCGAAAGCGUUAAGUAAACCACCUGGGGAGUACGUUCGCAAGAAUG